Molecule: long non-coding RNA, 1587 nt
Organism: Larimichthys crocea (large yellow croaker)
Lineage: Eukaryota; Metazoa; Chordata; Actinopteri; Sciaenidae
Exons: 5
Source: RefSeq, a predicted model, not a curated record
UCCAGAAACCGGAGCGUCCACUGAGCGGCGCCGCAGCCCGCAACUUUCACAGGCAGGCGGCUGGCCGGCCGGAGCUUCCUCCCUGCAACACGCUGCAGGCCAAUCCGCUCACUCACACCGUGUUGGGUUACAGUGACAAGGGCCCCUGUCUGAACCACGACUUUUAGUAAGAUAAUAUUACAGGCCCACAGCUGAUCCAUCUCCCAGUACACAAUUGAGACAGAGGAGGUUAAAGCACUCUGAACGCAUGGGACCAUAUUGCAGCCUUUGUCUCUCCUCCCAGGUAUUUGUGCCUGUGGCAGGGUCUUGGUCUUUUGUUCCCCUCCUGCUCCUCCAGCGCACCACAAGACGACCCGCAUGCACACGAGGCUCAGACAGCGCCUCCCAGCACUCCUCCAUGUUCUCCUCCAUCUGCCUCCUGUCCAUUGAUCAGCCUUCCAGGGCAUCAGUCUGUUUAACAUCUGCUACAAGUUCCAGCAGCUCAGAUGCGCAGAGGCUGUAAUGAAGAGCUCUUGAACUCCCAGUCAGAGAAGCAGUGACAGGAGUUCAGGAGGAUGCCUCUUUGGCUCUGUUGGACGUAUAACACACACACAUGCACACCAGUACACACUCAGGCACACAUACACCCCGAGACAGCAACAAACAGCUAAUACAAAAAUCAAAAUGAAGCUGUCACUCAAACAUUGUUUCACAAAUGACUAGCUUUUCAUUUAAAGUGUCCAAUGUUCAAUCUUCCUACUGAUAUUGGAAAAAUAUCAAAAAUCUACCUCUGCACGUCUGCUCCACUCUUAUUUUCUCCUUUCCUUUUAAUAUUAUUUAUUUUUGGGGACAGCUUUGACAUGAAAUUAGAGGUUACAAACUUUAUAUGAGAAACAUCUUAAUAGAGGCAUAACUUGAGUUUGUGAACUAUAAAAGCAGCCGCAUUUCCAACCUUCCGAGCUUUAUUAUCAAGCCUGUGGUACUGCGGCACAUCUUUCGGCAGGUACAUUUGAUUUUGAGUUUUUGCCUUCAGGCUCUGAAUUGAAAUGGAAGACCAAAUGGCACAAAUGGCAAGUGCACCAUUCCUAGCUUUCUGCAGCCUCCCAACACAAACUGGUCAAGCAGAAAUGAGACCUGCAUCAAUUUUAAUUUGUAUUUAUCCUGCUGAUGACCCGCUCCUUUCACUCUGCCGUUGGAGGCACAAAUUACACCCAUCAUAACUCUGAUUCCAACGGCCCACUGUGUGCUAUCAGGAAAUUAACAUGGUUAUAUACCACCGGCGGGUUCAAGGUGUCACAACACAAUUAUACAAUCAUGCAACCUGACGAGCACUGACUGGUCGCCAGUGUAUGACAACUAAGCUGGAGGGCUACACUGUCUGUCACAUCCAGGCGGGUAAGAUAAGUUCACUGUAGAGUAGACUGUGCCUCAGUGUCUGCUUCUCUCUAUCUAAAUCAGUUAAAUAUCACAUGGCUGCUGCAGUCUGGGUUUUUUUUUUUUUUUUUUUUGGGAUGAGGGGGGAGAAGUAUAAAGACCCACAUCUGAACUUAUCUUUGACUUGUCAGGUUUUUAUUCAGCACAGCAAAUUGAGCCUGCAAAAUUUGUGAA